UCUCCUCUCUUCAGGCUGCAGGCAGGGAAGCGUACUGGAGGGUGGCUGCCGGGGCUUGGCGUGAGUUCUUGAUGGCAUGGUGAGGGAGCAAGACAUCAUCAGGUUUACUUACUGAUGUGGCCUCUGCGUCCCGUGCGCUGGUGGUGCAGUCCUCUCAGAUCAGACACAAGCAGGUAGUUGUAGAUACCGUAUCUUCAAACGAGUUACUCAUAGCAUCUACAGAGUGGGCCAAUAUUCGAAAAGAGCACAAGACUUGAGGAUUUGAGCAUGCUUGUAGGCUAGAAGCAUCAACUUCAGACUUCGUCACUUGUUGACAGUCUAAAAUUGACCCUGAACUGAUAUGGGCACUUGCUAAGCAAGAUGUCAAAGACAAGCACCAGCUGAAGAUGAAAUAGAAAAUACAGCCGGUAAAGGCACCAACGAAGGAAAACCUUCAAG
Long non-coding RNA from Lolium perenne, 438 nucleotides. RefSeq lists it as uncharacterized. The record is from RefSeq and is a predicted model, not a curated record. NCBI's taxonomy places the organism in Eukaryota, Viridiplantae, Streptophyta, Magnoliopsida, Poales, Poaceae.